UACAGAGGGGGCAAGCGUUGUUCGGAAUUACUGGGCGUAAAGGGCGCGUAGGCGGCCUGCUAAGUCGAACGUGAAAUCCCUGGGCUCAACCCAGGAACUGCGUCCGAUACUGGUUGGCUUGAAUCCGGGAGAGGGAAGUGGAAUUCCGGGUGUAGUGGUGAAAUGCGUAGAUAUCCGGAGGAACACCAGUGGCGAAGGCGACUUCCUGGCCUGUUCUUGACGCUGAGGCGCGAAAGCUGGGGGAGCAAACGGG
RNAcentral lists this ribosomal RNA (253 nucleotides) under uncultured bacterium. Its description in RNAcentral is "partial 16S ribosomal RNA". It matches the Rfam family "Bacterial small subunit ribosomal RNA", at positions 524 to 776 of the family's 1533-position model. The record is from RNAcentral.